RNAcentral lists this ribosomal RNA (196 nucleotides) under Enterobacter hormaechei. Its description in RNAcentral is "partial 16S ribosomal RNA". It matches the Rfam family "Bacterial small subunit ribosomal RNA", at positions 1 to 204 of the family's 1533-position model. Lineage: Bacteria; Pseudomonadati; Pseudomonadota; Gammaproteobacteria; Enterobacterales; Enterobacteriaceae. The record is from RNAcentral.
AAAUUGAAGGGUUUGAUCAUGGCUCAGAUUGAACGCUGGCGGCAGGCCUAACACAUGCAAGUCGAACGGUAACAGGAAGCAGCUUGCUGCUUCGCUGACGAGUGGCGGACGGGUGAGUAAUGUCUGGGAAACUGCCUGAUGGAGGGGGAUAACUACUGGAAACGGUAGCUAAUACCGCAUAACGUCGCAAGACCAA